This 461-nucleotide long non-coding RNA is filed under the name Capsella rubella. RNAcentral describes it as "long non-coding RNA (CRUB_LNC001296)". Lineage: Eukaryota; Viridiplantae; Streptophyta; Magnoliopsida; Brassicales; Brassicaceae. The record is from RNAcentral.
AACUCGCUAUCCUUCUGCAUUGGUUUUAACAGCCUCGAGUUAGCACAAUGCAAAUCUUGAAAGUAGAGUUACAGCAAGAGAUGACUCAGGUAUAUGCUAAAACCAUAUAUACAGAGAAAAAAAUUAAGCUUUCAACUGUUUAAAGAAUCGAACUCAGUACCCCAAAAUACAAAUUCGUUUUCUGUACUCAUUAAUAAGGAAAGGAACUUACAUCAGGUGCCCAUUGGACCGAGUUUAUAUCCAUUUCAUGUGCUUUCUCCUUCUUAAGCAAAAGUUUGUAUGCAGGUUCAACAACCUGUCACAAUGAUGAUCAGCAUUUCAGUUUGGCUGCAGCACAAGGUGUAUUGCACCUUAUAAAAUCAUAGAAUACACACGUGUUGUGCUACAAAAGCCUACAAUGGUUACAGAACGAAUGCAAAGAAGUAAACCAGACAAGAUAUUUCAACAUGAUCAUAAAAGAG